Molecule: long non-coding RNA, 76 nt
Organism: Amblyraja radiata (thorny skate)
Lineage: Eukaryota; Metazoa; Chordata; Chondrichthyes; Rajiformes; Rajidae
Exons: 3
Source: RefSeq, a predicted model, not a curated record
UGCACUCUUUCUAGCUUAAUGGCGUAUUUCCUGCAGCAGGGUAACCAAAACUGAACACAAUACUCCAGGUGUGGUC